GGCUUUGUGGUCUAGUCGUAUGAUUGUCGCUUCGGGAAUUCCCCACGGGUUAAAAAUCUGUGAUCCAAUUGUGACAGGUCCCGGGUUCAAAUCCCGGCAAAGCCC
This 105-nucleotide transfer RNA is filed under the name Eutypa lata. RNAcentral describes it as "tRNA-Pro". It matches the Rfam family "tRNA". From Rfam's summary of the family: Transfer RNA (tRNA) molecules are approximately 80 nucleotides in length. Their secondary structure includes four short double-helical elements and three loops (D, anti-codon, and T loops). The record is from RNAcentral. Lineage: Eukaryota; Fungi; Ascomycota; Sordariomycetes; Xylariales; Diatrypaceae.